Molecule: ribosomal RNA, 301 nt
Filed under: uncultured bacterium
Lineage: Bacteria
Description: partial 16S ribosomal RNA
Rfam family: Bacterial small subunit ribosomal RNA
Source: RNAcentral
CAGUAGCCGCGGGAAUACGUAGGUGGCAAGCGUUGUCCGGAAUUAUUGGGCGUAAAGGGUGCGUAGGCGGUUUGGCAAGUCUUAUGUGAAAUCUUCGGGCUCAACCCGAAGUCUGCAUGAGAAACUGCCGGGCUUGAGUAUGGGAGGGGUGAGUGGAAUUUCCGGUGUAGCGGUGAAAUGCGUAGAUAUUCGGAAGAACACCAGUGGCGAAGGCGGCUCACUGGCUCAUACUGGACGCUGAGGUGCGAAAGCGUGGGGAGCAAACAGGAUUAGAUACCCCUGUAGUCCCUGUCUCUUAUAC